RNAcentral lists this ribosomal RNA (468 nucleotides) under uncultured bacterium. Its description in RNAcentral is "partial 16S ribosomal RNA". It matches the Rfam family "Bacterial small subunit ribosomal RNA", at positions 28 to 507 of the family's 1533-position model. The record is from RNAcentral.
GACGAACGCUGGCGGCGUGCUUAACACAUGCAAGUCGAACGGAAAGGCCCUGCUUUUGUGGGGUGCUCGAGUGGCGAACGGGUGAGUAACACGUGAGUAACCUGCCCUUGACUUUGGGAUAACUUCAGGAAACUGGGGCUAAUACCGGAUAGGAGCUCCUGCUGCAUGGUGGGGGUUGGAAAGUUUCGGCGGUUGGGGAUGGACUCGCGGCUUAUCAGCUUGUUGGUGGGGUAGUGGCUUACCAAGGCUUUGACGGGUAGCAGGCCUGAGCGGGUGACCGGACACAUUGGGACUGAGAUAAGGCCCAGACUACUACGGGAGGCAGCAGUGGGGAAUAUUGCACAAUGGGAGGAAGCCUGAUGCAGCAACGCCGCGUGCGGGAUGACGGCAUUCGGGUUGUAAACCGCUUUCGCCUGUGACGAAGCGUGAGUGACGGUAAUGGGUAAAGAAGCACCGGCUAACUACGUG